CGCCGGACACCUGGUAUGGUGGUACUGAGGUUUGGAUCCCGUUUUCAGAUUGAACGCUGGCGGAUGCUUUGCUACGCGAAGUCAGGAACCAGCGUUGCUCUGACUUUCGGCUCCGGUGGUAGCGAGCAAAGCGAAGCGGCGUGAGAAUGCAUCGUGUGGAACGUCAAAGAGUGUAUUAACUACGCGAAAGGUAGCUAAUACCGCAUACGGCCCUUCGGGGGAAAGCGGGGGACCUUCGGCCUCGCACUAUUAGAGCGGCCGAUAUCGGAUUAGCUAGUUGGUGGGGUAACGGCUCACCGGCGACGAUCCGUAGCUGGUUUGAGAGGACGACCGUAGCCACACUGGGACUGAGACACGGCCCAGACUCUACGGGAGGCAGCAGGGAAUUUUGGACAAUGGGAAACCCUGAUCCAGCCAUCCCAUGUGUGCGAUGAAGGCCUUCGGGUUGUAAAGCACCUUGGUAGAAAGAAACGGCACGGGAUAAUACCCCCGUGCAACUGACGGUACCUGCAGAAUAAGCACCGCUAACUACGCGCCAGCAGCCGCGGUAAUACGUAGGGUGCAAGCGUUAAUCGGAAUUACUGGGCGUAAAGUGCGCGCAGGCGGUUCGGAAAGAAAGAUGUGGAAAUCCCAGAGCUUAACUUUGGAACUGCAUUUUUAACUACCGAGCUAGAGUGUGUCAGAGGAGGGAAUUCCGCGUGUAUAUAGCAGUCGCGGAUAUGCGAUAACAAUCCAGCCAAAGAAUACAGCCCUUGGAUAAUGAAUGACGUCUAUGCAUCGAAAGCGUGGGAGCAACAGGAUUAGAUACCCUGGUAGUCCACGCCUCAAACGAUGCUCAACGAGCUGUUGGGGCUCUCGGGCCUUGUGAGCGUUAAAUAACGUUGUAGUUGACCGCCUGGGGAGUACGGUCGCAAGAUUAAACUCAAAGGGAAUUGACGGGGACCGCGACGGGGCGGUGGAUGAUGGGAUUAAUCUGAUGCAACGCGAAAACUCACUACCCUUUGACAUGUCUGGAACUUCGAAGAGAUUUGGGAGUGUCGCGGCGAGAACUCGUGGAAUCAGCAGGAAGCGGGAGCAGCUGCCGUCAGCCUGCGUCGUGAGAUGUUGAAGUUAAGUCCCCAAAUCGAGCAACCCUUUGUCAUUAGCUGAUGCCAAAGGGCACCUUGUCGAGACUGCCGGUGACAAACCGGGAGGAAGGUGGGGAUGACGUCAAGUCCUCAUGGCCCUAUGGGUAGGGCUUCACACGUCAUACAAUGGUCGGGACAGAGGGUCGCCAACCCGCGAGGGAGCCAAUCCCAGAAACCUGAUCAGAGUCCGGAUCGCAGUCUGCAACCGGACUGCGUGAAGUCGGGGUUCGCCGGUAAUCGCAGUGAUCAAGAUGAAACAGGUGAAUACGUUCCCGGGUCUUGUACACACCGCCCGUCACACCAUGGGAGUGGGUUUUACCAGAAGUAGUUAGCCUAACCGUAAGGAGGGCGAUUACCACGGUAGGAUUCAUGACUGGGGCGAAGUCGUAACAGGUAG
Molecule: ribosomal RNA, 1524 nt
Filed under: uncultured Bordetella sp.
Lineage: Bacteria; Pseudomonadati; Pseudomonadota; Betaproteobacteria; Burkholderiales; Alcaligenaceae
Description: partial 16S-23S ribosomal RNA intergenic spacer
Rfam family: Bacterial small subunit ribosomal RNA
Source: RNAcentral